UAUGAAGAACGUAGCGAAAUGCGAUACUUGGUGUGAAUUGCAGAAUCCCGUGAACCAUCGAGUCUUUGAACGCAAGUUGCGCCCGAAGCCACUAGGCCGAGGGCACGCCUGCCUGGGCGUCACACGCCGUUGCCCCCCCAUCUACUCCUUCGGGAUUGCGGGGGGGCGGAUGAUGGCCUCCUGUGCGCCUAGCCGCGCGGUUGGCAUAAAUACCAAGUCCUCGGCGACGCACGCCACGACAAUCGGUGGUUGCGAAACCUCGGUUGCCCGUCGUGUGCGUUCGUCGCGCAUCGAGGGCUCGAAAAAAUGCUCGGCUCCGGCUGGGCUUUCAACGCGACCCCAGGUCAGGCGGGGUUACCCGCUGAAUUUAAGCAUAUCAAUAAGCGGAGGA
Molecule: unclassified non-coding RNA, 391 nt
Filed under: soil metagenome
Description: partial contains 5.8S ribosomal RNA, internal transcribed spacer 2, and large subunit ribosomal RNA
Rfam family: 5.8S ribosomal RNA (bases 2-122)
Source: RNAcentral